This 439-nucleotide ribosomal RNA is filed under the name uncultured bacterium. RNAcentral's name for it is "bacterial SSU rRNA". It matches the Rfam family "Bacterial small subunit ribosomal RNA", at positions 355 to 811 of the family's 1533-position model. The record is from RNAcentral.
UCAAGAAACUUCCACAAUGGGCGAAAGCCUGAUGGAGCGACGUCGCGUGAUGGACGAAGUGCUUCGGCACGUAAACAUCUUUUAUGUGGGAUGAAAUUAUUGACAGUACCACAUGAAUAAGGGGCUCCUAACUCUGUGCCAGCAGGAGCGGUAAUACAGAGGCCCCAAGCGUUAUCCGGAAUCACUGGGCGUAAAGGGUGUCGAGGCGGUUGUAUUAGUCGUUCGUAAAAUCUACGAGCUUAACUUGUAGGCGGCGAACGAAACGGUACGACUUGAGGUUUGGAGAGGUGCGUGGAACUCACGGUGUAGGGGUGAAAUCCGUUGAUAUCGUGGGGAACACCAAAGGCGAAGGCAGCGCACUGGCCAAAAUCUGACGCUCACACACGAAAGCUAGGGUAGCGAAGAGGAUUAGAUACCCCCGUAGUCCCUGAGCGGGCUG